Molecule: ribosomal RNA, 468 nt
Filed under: uncultured bacterium
Lineage: Bacteria
Description: partial 16S ribosomal RNA
Rfam family: Bacterial small subunit ribosomal RNA
Source: RNAcentral
GACGAACGCUGGCGGCGUGCUUAACACAUGCAAGUCGAACGGAAAGGCCCUGCUUUUGUGGGGUGCUCGAGUGGCGAACGGGUGAGUAACACGUGAGUAACCUGCCCUUGACUUUGGGAUAACUUCAGGAAACUGGGGCUAAUACCGGAUAGGAGCUCCUGCUGCAUGGUGGGGGUUGGAAAGUUUCGGCGGUUGGGGAUGGACUCGCGGCUUAUCAGCUUGUUGGUGGGGUAGUGGCUUACCAAGGCUUUGACGGGUAGCCGGCCUGAGAGGGUGACCGGGCACAUUGGGACUGAGAUACGGCCCAGACUCCUACGGGAGGCAGAAGUGGGGAAUAUUGCACAAUGGGCGGAAGCCUGAUGCAGAAACGCCGCGUGCGGGAUGACGGCCUUCGGGUUGUAAACCGCUUUCGCCUGUGACGAAGCGUGAGUGACGGUAAUGGGUAAAGAAGCACCGGCUAACUACGUG